Molecule: ribosomal RNA, 325 nt
Filed under: uncultured eukaryote
Lineage: Eukaryota
Description: partial 18S ribosomal RNA
Rfam family: Eukaryotic small subunit ribosomal RNA
Source: RNAcentral
CCCUUAGAUGUUCUGGGCCGCACGCGCGCUACACUGAUGCAUUCAACGAGCCUAUCCUUGACCGACAGGUCCGGGUAAUCUUUGAAUCUGCAUCGUGACGGGGAUAGAUUAUUGCAAUUAUUAAUCCUCAACGAGGAAUGCCUAGUAGGCGCAAGUCAUCAGCUUGCGUCGAUUACGUCCCUGCCCUUUGUACACACCGCCCGUCGCUCCUACCGAUUGGGUGUGCUGGUGAAAUGUUCGGAUCGGCCGUUUGUCGCGGUUUCCGCGGCUCGUGGCUGAGAAGUUCAUUAAACCCUCCCACCUAGAGGAAGGAGAAGUCGUAACA